CUGGCUGAGCCCGAUCUCCGGAGAGAAAAUACACCCUGUCUCCAAAAGUUCACGGCCGGACCACCCCAACCCCUGCCUCACCUCUCUGACAUCUUCAGCAUCUUCUGUCUUUAGGCUUUUAGCCGCCCUAACGGCAGACAGGGCAGAUGGGAAUGGGCGGAGUGGCACAGCAGUAACACUGAGCUCUACACAGAAAGGCGAGAGAGUUGCUAACAAACUCCGAUCGUGCUAUUCUCCUGACCAUAACCUGUCCGGUUUUAUUCCUUUCUUUGCUUGUCCCGCUAGCCUUGCCAGCUGCAGUCGCGGAGGAGGGGUCUAAGGAUUACUACUAUCGAGGACGGAGUUUAAGAAGCAGUCGAGAGAUUUUAUGGUGAAGAAACUUGCAAUGAAGUCUUGUUUUCCAUGAAAAAAAAAUCAUUGUAUAAGUACUGUAAAUAUACAACACAAAGAAUGAAGGUUUCUCCCUCAGUCCAUCUGCAAGAUCUGCUGGGUUACAAGAACACUUGAGUUAACUAAUACAUUUCUAGACCUUGCACUGCUGUUUAUCUGCAUGUGAAACUCCCAUUGAAGUCAAUGAAAGCUGUGUGCAUGGAUGGAAGUCAAUACAUGACCUAGAGGCCAAAUUCUACUCUCAGAUCCACACUUCAGGUCUCAGAAGUUUACCUUGAGUUAAGUAUAUAUAUUUGUUAUCUAUCAUGGUGAAAGCUAGAUAAAUAAAUACAACUACUACUUAAGUUGACUGUUUGAAGAGCUUAGAGCAGCCUUUGGGCCUCAUUCUACCUUCGAGUCACAGACAGAGCUCUCCCAAGAUCAGUGUAAAUUCUGCUGCUGAUUGAGGUCAGUACAUGGCCCUGAGUGCUUUGCUUUUGAUGCUUUGGCAUUAUGCACCCUUCAGAAAGUGCAGAUCACUGUUUCUAUGCCGUAUUUGUGAUGGCAGGAUCCUCAAAGGUGGAGUGGUAUUGCCAAAACUCAGGAUUUUGAGCAAGAUACUUAGGCAGAGACACACUUAUGGGCAGUAGGUAGCUCUGUACUCUCUGUCAUGUGUAGAUCUCAGUAGACAGAAGAGCAUAUAUCAUUCCAACUGAAGUUGCUAGUUACUUAUACUCAAGUGAUUUAUGUUCCACCUAUUUCAG
Molecule: long non-coding RNA, 1133 nt
Organism: Mauremys reevesii (Reeves's turtle)
Lineage: Eukaryota; Metazoa; Chordata; Testudines; Geoemydidae
Exons: 4
Source: RefSeq, a predicted model, not a curated record